UUAUGGUUGCACAGUUAGCAUUUGCACUCUCUGGGAGCGAUUUGAUGGUUUCAUGCAGUAACGAUUAACACGUCUGCUUGCUUUUUCCUGCAGAAUUCAUCACUAAGCCGCCUCUCUACAGCAGAGGAGACAUGUGCCUUUCCUAGUCAUUUCAGCCAUGGAGUCGGAAACCUGCUCAGCCUGAAUUUAACCAAAUGCAACUUACAGAAGGACGAUGACGUUGUCGAACACCUCAAGCACUUGGAAGGCCGGCUGAAUAUCACUAAUAAAUGCCCACUUCUGGUGGACCUGUACUGUAAAGACACGAAUCUGAGAUCUGCUCCCAUCGCCUCACUAGAAGGUUUCGUUGAAAAACUGACCACCCUGCUGCAGAAGUACCAUGAGAAAUGCGACCUUUAAGGCAGACCAGAAUCCAGUAAUCCAUCAGAUUCAGAGUUUUGGGGAUCACUGCUAAUGUCUUGAAAAGUGGGCAUCGAUAUAUUUCUCAGAAUGUUGGGGAAGACACUUUCCAAUGUUUUGUACCUCCUGGCUACCUUCCUAAAAUUAUUCUUUCUGUGCAAAAAUCAAUCUUUCAUUGUCAAACAUGUUGUUAUUAUUAUUAUUUUUUUUACAAUCAAUCCAGUUUCUACCUUAUUUGGUCAAACGAUUCGGACUAAAACAAAGAAAGACGUAAUCUGCCUAAAGAAGUGAUGAAGGAAUGUCUCUGUAUUAGUUUGUGACUGCAUUCUGAAUGUUAUCAGUACUUUCUUACAAUUAACCAGGAGCUGUUGAUUCCAAAAAGUACAGUUUAUCAAACACUAUGCAAGUAUAAAACAGUACUUUCGUAAAAUCUAACAUUAUGAAGUUGAUCAUGGUAUGUGCUAUGUGAUUUUAAAAGGUUUGUGUAUUUAUUUUAUUUAUCAUUAAUUUAUCAAUAUAGUGCAGACGCAUAUUGAGUUUUUAUACUUUAGUUUUGUGUAUUUAUAUAUGUUAAGAAAAGUGUUGAACCUAUGUGAUUUAAACAUGUAACUGAAUGUUAACAUCAUACUGAUGUCUUAUUGAGAUAAUAUGUAAGGAUCCCCUUCUAGUUUGGUCAUAUUGAACAGUCUCCUCGUUUCUUUACUUUUUGUUUUUGUUGUGUUACUUUGGUCCUGAAGUGUUAUUUUAUAGUCCA
Molecule: long non-coding RNA, 1153 nt
Organism: Xiphophorus hellerii (green swordtail)
Lineage: Eukaryota; Metazoa; Chordata; Actinopteri; Cyprinodontiformes; Poeciliidae
Exons: 3
Source: RefSeq, a predicted model, not a curated record